UACGUAGGUGGCAAGCGUUGUCCGGAUUUACUGGGCGUAAAGAGCGCGCAGGCGGUCGUACAAGUCGCGUGUGAAAGCCCCCGGCUCAACUGGGGAGGGUCACGCGAUACUGCUCGACUUGAAGGCAGGAGAGGGAAGUGGAAUUCCCGGUGUAGUGGUGAAAUGCGUAGAUAUCGGGAGGAACACCAGUGGCGAAGGCGACUUCCUGGCCUGUUCUUGACGCUGAGGCGCGAAAGCUAGGGUAGCAAACGGG
This 253-nucleotide ribosomal RNA is filed under the name uncultured bacterium. RNAcentral describes it as "partial 16S ribosomal RNA". It matches the Rfam family "Bacterial small subunit ribosomal RNA", at positions 524 to 776 of the family's 1533-position model. The record is from RNAcentral.